RNAcentral lists this long non-coding RNA (390 nucleotides) under Selaginella moellendorffii. Its description in RNAcentral is "long non-coding RNA (SMOE_LNC000001)". Lineage: Eukaryota; Viridiplantae; Streptophyta; Lycopodiopsida; Selaginellales; Selaginellaceae. The record is from RNAcentral.
UAAUAGCGCUUAAAAUAUUGCUCUGGAGGCAUGGAAGCAAGACAUUCCUUCACCCGUUCCCAAAUUUCAGCACAGACGUCAUCAACUUUCUUCCGGGUUAGUGUCCCUGGAACAGCGAUGGCCACAGAAUUAAACACAGCCAAAGGGCAAACAGGAUCGAACAGGGAGUGCAGAGAUUCCAGAUAUCCACACAGAGAGUAAUUCAGGAAGCAAAAUUCCUUACAUGGAAACUAGAGCAGGAUCCUGACUAGAAGAAGUACCUGCAGCAGGAAAACUUGAAACGCAAAACCCAGCUCUAAGCCGAAGAAGACACAGACAGCAUUAAUAGAACACCAAGAACUGGGCAAAAACUGGGGAUGCACGUGCAAGGAAACAAAGGGCUUUCGCAAU